GAUGAACGCUGGCGGCGUGCCUAAUACAUGCAAGUCGAGCGAACGGACGAGAAGCUUGCUUUUCUGAUGUUAGCGGCGGACGGGUGAGUAACACGUGGAUAACCUACCUAUAAGACUGGGAUAACUUCGGGAAACCGGAUCUAAUACCGGAUAAUAUUUUGAACCGCAUGGUUCAAAAGUGAAAGACGGUCUUGCUGUCACUUAUAGAUGUAUCCGCGCUGCAUUAGCUAGUUGGUAAGGUAACGGCUUACCAAGGCAACGAUGCAUAGCUGACCUGAGAGGAUGAUCGGCCACACUGGAACUGAGACACGGUCCAGACUCCUACGGGAGGCAGCAGUAGGGAAUCUUCCGCAAUGGGCGAAAGCCUGACGGAGCAACGCCGCGUGAGUGAUGAAGGUCUUCGGAUCGUAAAACUCUGUUAUUAGGGAAGAACAUAUGUGUAAGUAACUGUGCACAUCUUGACGGUACCUAAUCAGAAAGCCACGGCUAACUACGUG
RNAcentral lists this ribosomal RNA (497 nucleotides) under uncultured bacterium. RNAcentral describes it as "partial 16S ribosomal RNA". It matches the Rfam family "Bacterial small subunit ribosomal RNA", at positions 28 to 507 of the family's 1533-position model. The record is from RNAcentral.